This 1302-nucleotide ribosomal RNA is filed under the name Salmonella enterica subsp. enterica serovar 4,[5],12:i:-. RNAcentral describes it as "partial 23S ribosomal RNA". It matches the Rfam family "Bacterial large subunit ribosomal RNA", at positions 711 to 1909 of the family's 2925-position model. Lineage: Bacteria; Pseudomonadati; Pseudomonadota; Gammaproteobacteria; Enterobacterales; Enterobacteriaceae. The record is from RNAcentral.
AGACCCGAAACCCGGUGAUCUAGCCAUGGGCAGGUUGAAGGUUGGGUAACACUAACUGGAGGACCGAACCGACUAAUGUUGAAAAAUUAGCGGAUGACCUGUGGCUGGGGGUGAAAGGCCAAUCAAACCGGGAGAUAGCUGGUUCUCCCCGAAAGCUAUUUAGGUAGCGCCUCGUGAAUUCAUCUCCGGGGGUAGAGCACUGUUUCGGCUAGGGGGCCAUCCCGGCUUACCAACCCGAUGCAAACUGCGAAUACCGGAGAAUGUUAUCACGGGAGACACACGGCGGGUGCUAACGUCCGUCGUGAAGAGGGAAACAACCCAGACCGCCAGCUAAGGUCCCAAAGUCAUGGUUAAGUGGGAAACGAUGUGGGAAGGCCCAGACAGCCAGGAUGUUGGCUUAGAAGCAGCCAUCAUUUAAAGAAAGCGUAAUAGCUCACUGGUCGAGUCGGCCUGCGCGGAAGAUGUAACGGGGCUAAACCAUGCACCGAAGCUGCGGCAGCGAACGUAUCACCCAAGACAACUUUACGGAGUUGACGAUUGACGGAGCGAAGCGACGUCAAAGCGUUCAUUAAAGUCGAGUUGGCUUAGGGAUACGUUCGUUGGGUAGGGGAGCGUUCUGUAAGCCUGUGAAGGUGUGUCGUGAGGCAUGCUGGAGGUAUCAGAAGUGCGAAUGCUGACAUAAGUAACGAUAAAGCGGGUGAAAAGCCCGCUCGCCGGAAGACCAAGGGUUCCUGUCCAACGUUAAUCGGGGCAGGGUGAGUCGACCCCUAAGGCGAGGCCGAAAGGCGUAGUCGAUGGGAAACGGGUUAAUAUUCCCGUACUUGGUGUUACUGCGAAGGGGGGACGGAGAAGGCUAUGUUGGCCGGGCGACGGUUGUCCCGGUUUAAGCGUGUAGGUGUGUGUUCCAGGUAAAUCCGGUUCACUUUAACACUGAGGCGUGAUGACGAGGCACUACGGUGCUGAAGCAACAAAUGCCCUGCUUCCAGGAAAAGCCUCUAAGCAUCAGGUAACAUCAAAUCGUACCCCAAACCGACACAGGUGGUCAGGUAGAGAAUACCAAGGCGCUUGAGAGAACUCGGGUGAAGGAACUAGGCAAAAUGGUGCCGUAACUUCGGGAGAAGGCACGCUGACACGUAGGUGAAGUGAUUUACUCACGGAGCUGAAGUCAGUCGAAGAUACCAGCUGGCUGCAACUGUUUAUUAAAAACACAGCACUGUGCAAACACGAAAGUGGACGUAUACGGUGUGACGCCUGCCCGGUGCCGGAAGGUUAAUUGAUGGGGUCAGCGCAAGCGAAGCUCCU